Molecule: non-coding RNA, 19 nt
Filed under: Oryzias latipes (Japanese medaka)
Lineage: Eukaryota; Metazoa; Chordata; Actinopteri; Beloniformes; Adrianichthyidae
Also listed under: 1 other name
Gene: ola-miR-100
Source: miRBase by way of RNAcentral
AACCCGUAGAUCCGAACUU